RNAcentral lists this small RNA (28 nucleotides) under Bombyx mori (domestic silkworm). Its description in RNAcentral is "ovarian small RNA-11764". The record is from RNAcentral. Lineage: Eukaryota; Metazoa; Arthropoda; Insecta; Lepidoptera; Bombycidae.
AGAACGGUUCUCGCCUCAAGUCAGGUUC